AUCCUUUUGUGGUUCAUAAGCAUGAUGACUGGGUGUUCAUGCUCAAGUGUGAGAUACGCUGCCUUAAACCUUGUUAUGGUGUCAGCACAUCACUCAUCUGAUG
Callithrix jacchus (white-tufted-ear marmoset) is the source of this 103-nucleotide small nucleolar RNA. NCBI's taxonomy places the organism in Eukaryota, Metazoa, Chordata, Mammalia, Primates, Cebidae. The record is from Ensembl.